Molecule: non-coding RNA, 30 nt
Filed under: Rattus norvegicus (Norway rat)
Lineage: Eukaryota; Metazoa; Chordata; Mammalia; Rodentia; Muridae
Source: RNAcentral
GAGAACCAGUGAGGUGAGAACUAUAGUUGG